GAUGAACGCUGGCGGCGCGCCUAACACAUGCAAGUCGAACGAUUAAAGCACCUUCGGGUGUGUAUAAAGUGGCGAACGGCUGAGUAACACGUGGGCAACCUGCCCCUCUCAUUGGGAUAGCCACGGGAAACCGUGGAUAAUACCGAAUACUUCGAGACUUCCGCAUGGAAGACUUGAGAAAGCUCCGGCGGAGAGGGAUGGGCCCGCGGCCUGUUAGCUUGUUGGUGGGGUAACGGCCUACCAAGGCAAUGAUGGGUAGCUGGGUUGAGAGACCGACCAGCCAGAUUGGGACUGAGACACGGCCCAGACUCCUACGGGAGGCAGCAGUGGGGAAUCUUGCACAAUGGGCGAAAGCCUGAUGCAGCGACGCCGCGUGCGGGAUGAAGGCCUUCGGGUUGUAAACCGCUUUCAGCAGGGACGAGGCGAAA
RNAcentral lists this ribosomal RNA (428 nucleotides) under Lancefieldella parvula. RNAcentral's name for it is "bacterial SSU rRNA". It matches the Rfam family "Bacterial small subunit ribosomal RNA", at positions 28 to 455 of the family's 1533-position model. Lineage: Bacteria; Bacillati; Actinomycetota; Coriobacteriia; Coriobacteriales; Atopobiaceae. The record is from RNAcentral.